CUUAUUCCUGCCCAUGUCAGUCCUGCGCCAACGAGAGUACCGCCAUCUAUUGGUGAGUCCCUUGAACUUCACUUGAAAGCCCUUGGGAGGGUGUGGCUAGGGCUUCAGGGAGACAGCGGGUCACCUGGUCGGUCACUGCUGCACCACAGGAUUUGAUAGGGCAGGAGAGGAAAGGCCACAAGGCCUUGGGGCACAGGAAAGGAGAGCCUCAGCUUUGACCAUUUUGCUGCAAUUCCCAGGGUGGUCUGCAAGUUUAUUAAAUUGGACAUCAGGGAAAAUCGAACCCAGGGAGAAACUGCGAUCUGCUGUCACUUUGAACCGCCACAGAAAGGGAGGACGCAGGAAAGGGAAGAGGGAUGAGUCUGAGGCUUGAAGCAUGGUCAGGAGCUGUGCUCGGGGCUCCCGCCGCUGCACCGCUGCACCGCUGCACCCGGAUGCCACACAGGGAGCCAGGCACAGAAGGAGCAGAGACAAACCCGGUCCUGCGGAGCAGGAGCUGCACCCCCAGCCAGCCUUUGAGCUCCUGGGCCGCUCUCUGCCCUUUGCUCUCGCAAGAGCAAAAGCCUGGCGUGGAGGGAAGUAGGAAAAGUAGCGCGGGAGUCGCCACACAGCGCUGGGGUCACAUCUGCAGAGAGAUUGGUUUCACAAGUGCUCAGAUCUGCUGGGGUCACCUGGAAAGGCCUUUGGGAAAUCCCCUGGGCACACUUUUGGAAUCCCAAAGGAAUGACCUUCCAGAGUGCCGGUGAACCCACUGGGGUCCUUAUUGCAUGCACCCUGAUGUUUCUUUUUGAUACCAUGAUUUGGAAAAAAAAAAAGAAAAGAAAAGAAACCUUUGGGCACUGGUCUCUGGAACUGGGAGGCCAUGUUGCAGCUCCCCUGGUCUGGCGGUAAGGUCCUUCUGAUUCACCUUGCCCCCGUAAUAGCCACACAACCCUUACCACAGACUACUGUUACUGCCGUUUACCGGUAAUGCGUCCUUGCUUCCCCGAAUGCUGAAGUAUAACACAAGAGAAGCAAGCGGAGGCAAGUGUAGAGUGGAAAGUGGAAGGCUUUAUUAAAGGACAGCAGAAAAGGCUUCUCCCAGGACGAAGAAGGGGACCCGAAAGGGAGAAUUCGUGGAAGGGGGAAGUCUUCCCUUUUGUAUAGCUAAGGUCUUCUUUUAGUCCUCCCACAUUCCUAUCCUUUGUUUCCCUCUGUCCUGCAGCUAUAGAAUGCAGGUGGGAAGGACAAAAGGUGGGAGAUGAUGGACUGGAGGAGUAAUCUGGACAGGAAAAGCCUGGGGUGGUUUGAUUAACAUUUCCCUGUUUGCUAGGAGCUGAUUCAUUAACAUUUCCUUAGGAUGGGUUCCGAGUUUUGGGGUCAUUAACAUUUCAAUUUCCCCAAGUGCUGCUCUGCUUUCCUGGUCUCCAUUUUCUUUAUCUUUUUCUAUAUUAGACCCGAUUUACCUAACUACACUAACUACCUAUCUGUAAAUCUGGCUUCACUACUUCCUUGGGGGCAUCCAAGGCAUUCCUGCUCCCUGAACCCUCUCAAACCCCUGGCACCUGCUCCACACAAACACCCCCCCCCCCGUGUGCCCAGUGAUCUCCUCUUCUAAGUGGCUCACUGGGCAAUCUGUGCUCAAGGCCUACCAUAGGGUCACUUGUGGAAAGGGACCAGGAGGUAGGUCAUGAACCCACUUUCAGAGUGUACUGAGGCAGUCCUGGGUCACGAAGCCCUCCUGGUUUUUAGGAACACUGGGUGCUUGUGACAUGAAUUGAAGCAUGUGUGUUUGUGUGUAUCCCACUAAUGGAGGAGAGGACUCCUGGUUUCUCUGGAAAACGAUGUCCCACUAAUGGGAGGGGGGAAGUCCCUGAUUCCUCUGGUUGUUAUAGAUAGACUUUGGUGCCAGGGAGAGGAGUAUUGUAAUAGUAGCCACAGAGGGAACCUUCUGAAAAAGGGUUGGUGGCAGGGCAUGGGUCAAUCUGGUCUAGGGUCCUUGGAGACAGUUCUGUAGAAAUGAGACAGUGCUUGAAGUCCGGCCUGGUUCCAGGUGGCUGAGUGGGAACCAAAGGCAACUGAUAGUGUCAGGGUGAGGGCAAGGCUCAGGCCUGGGAACUAAGUUUCGAAGAUCCAGCAAUUGAAAGAAGAUGCAAGGCACAGUGGGAAUAUUGGUCAUCCUUUACUCAGAGAUGGCCAUAGCCAUUAGCCAGCCCCCUGAGUCAUUUGUACAGGCCCUUUUUCUGUACAGUUCAAACAAAGAAGGCACACUGCCAACAGGUUACAUCAGUGGGUGCAUGAUCACAAGCAAAUGUUUAUGACCUCGAGUAUGUGCAGUAAAUCAAAGUGUUUCUGACCUUGACUACACACUGACCAUAAUAUAGCAGAUUCAUGGCCUUGGCUACAUACUAAAAACAUAACAUAAAAUAUAACAUAACGCUCUGCCCUCUUCCUCUUCUUUCUCUCCUCUCUCUGUUCUCUUCCUCUCUUCUCUCUCCUCUCUCUCUCCUCUCUUUCUCUCCUCUCUCUGCUCUCUGCCUCUCCUUUUCUUCCCCUUUGGCAGCCCCCAAUAAAAUCUCUUUGAUUGAAAAAAAAAAUAACAGCUAUCUGGAAGUCUUGGUGAGGGAGCCAUUUUGGGCCUGCUCCAAUAGUUAGCAUGCCACAGUCAGUGUGGCAGUAGGAGAGCUGGUCUGGUGCAGGUUAUAGCAAGACUGUUCCCAGGACAGCCUGCAGUGUGACUGUUGCCAGUCUCAGGCUCCAUGAGCAAGUUGUAGCCCUGGUUGAUCCUAUGGAGUCUCUGAGGGUGUGGUCACUCACUUGAGGGACUCAGUGUCUGCUCUCCAUCAGAGUGGUAUUUGGAGCACUGCUGCGAGUGACCCUGCUUUCCUUGGAUGCUUUCCACUGCUUGGUGUCAUGCUUGCCCCUCUGUUCCUCUGUUUAAUUGGCAUGAGGUGGGACCUUGGCACUGGUGUGUUUUAAAAGCACCCCUGGCAUUGCCAGUGUGCCAGGCAGGUUGGGAAAUCAGUGCCAGGGUUGGAGUUGACCCACAGGUUAGAGGCAGAGUGAGGAGGUGCAGAGCUGGUGAGGAUGGACUGUGCUUUUACACAACCAUUCCCAUCAUUUCUCAUCACAGGUCUGCAUUAGCAGUGUACAUGGGCGACAUGGUGUGGUGGACGACACCAUCUUUUUCACUUUGGAUUCUCUGAAGCUUCCUGCCGGUUACGUACCUCAACCAAAUGACAUCGUUGACGUGGUCAUAGUAGAGAGCGUUCAGUCCUGCUAUAUUUGGAGAGCAGUUUCUAUGACCCCAGUGCACAUAUUGUAAAAGCAAAACCCUUUGUUUCCUGUUGGUCUUCAUUUCUAUGGGCAGUAAAGGGCCUGGUUUAAUGGAAAAGCUGAGCUUAGUAAGCCCAAACAAAAUAUUAAUGCUUUAAUUAAUCAUUUAAGACAGUGGGUAGUUCAUUUGGGACCAGGAACCUACUUUAGGGAACUGCCUUAUCCAUUCUGAAACAUGCUAAAGCUGGAUGUUUAUUGUAGGAAAGAAAUAGCACUGCAGUCAGGCACAGUAGCCCAUGCCUUUAAUUCCAGAGACUCAGAGACUGAGGCAGGAGGAUCACAGGUUUGAGGAGAGCUUGACAACUUAGUGAAUCCAGUUUCAAAAUACAAAAAAUAAAAAUGGGGGUGUAACUCAGUGGUAAAGUACCCCGGGCUCAAUCCCCUGGCAACAAGUGUUAGAGUCUGUAAACAAGUCAGGAUGGCGCCUGCUAUUUUGCCAGGGGGAGUGGUUUGUGAGGUGGCACCAGCGAGCCAUUAAGUGUGGAGAUUCCUUAUUGGUUGACUGCUGUAUCUAGUUUAUGUUAAUUAAGAUAAGCUGUGUGUAAUGUAUAUAUACCCCUCCUGUCCUACAAUAAAUGGCUCCCACUCCUACUGUAUCAAUCUACACAAGUUCUUCGUCACCCCCCGGUUAUUUUGCUGCAGCCGGACUGCGGCAGAUGGUGGCCUUUUACGGGGAGCCCCGGGACACUCAGGGGUAAGUGACGAAAAAAAAAAAAAAGCUGCCCGUCCAUAGACAGAACAGGAGCAAAUCUGUUCGUCCCUAGGCAGAUAGGGCGAGAGGAAAAAUGGCCAUUUUGAGAAAAUGGAGAAGAUUGAUGCAGUAUGUUUGUGUCUUGUUUUGUCUCAGUGUAUUGUAUUGUCUUUGUGAUGAAAAUAUGGAAGGGGUGAGAAGUAAAUUACUAAGGUGCCGCAGUCUGGCUGGGCACACAAUCACGAGCCACCACACAGCUUGUAGAUUCAAACAGCAACUCUUUAUUCCCGAACUCACACCAGCCGUCUACAAUCACGUUCUGGGGAAAUCCACGUUCUCUGCCCAAAUCCCCUCCCACUGGGCUUCUGUCUCCCAAAACAUACUGUCUGAAUCCCGUGAGAACUCAAGGGGAACUCAGGCAGCAGGAUACGCCCUAUUCCCAGCAGGAAUAAUCUUAAACCUUAAACCUGGAACCUAAACCGGGAACGCCCUAAUCCGCCUUGGUCCUUGAACAAGGUCACCUACAUUCAAUGUCACUGCAACAUGGGGUACGCUGGCAAGGAAAUUGUCAUACCUACUUGGCUAAUGGCUCCCAGCACUAAGGGAAGAAGGCACCCCAGUGGAACCAAGAAUAGUUAGGGCAUGUGUUGAUGGAAGCCCAGGAACUCUAGUCAGAAAGAAAAAGAAAGUUCAGAGGAGGAAGGAUUAUCAGGAAAAAAGUUGCAGCAAAAGGCUAUUACUGAAUACUUUUCGUUACCGGAGGGUGCGUGAAUCGGCGCUGUGGUUGCCACGUGUGCGAGCCGGUCAUGGUGCAGCAAGGACUUUCCAAGCGGCGGCAGCCGGCUCUUCCACUGCCAGGAGCCCAAAUCUAGACCUGACCUGGAGGCACAGUCUCGCAGGCUCUUGCUCCCUGUGCCCGGAAGCAGUUUGUGUCCAGGACUCUCCCCAGGGCCAUCUGGGGCUGCCCGGAUGCUAUAGCCGAUGCUACCGGAUGCUACCGGUGUCCCUGAUGUUUGGUUAUUUUCAAUGCCAAUAACUAAGCUACAAUGGUUCUCCCACACCUGGAGGCUGAUGAAUAAUGAGCACCAUUAAGGCUUAUUUCAAAUGUAAGAAACCUUGAGAUAAUGUACUAAAUUGUUCAGAAGGUUGUUUUCUUAGCGCCUGCUGGAAUACUACAGGAUUUUCUUUACCACCCGGAGUUCCUGCCUUCAUCCCAGUGCCAGUGAAGAUGAAGGUGGAAGAAUUUCCAGUGUUGCUGAAAACCGGACGAAACUUCGUCUGAGAACCGGACGAGACUUUGGAUCAAGCUAGCUGCCUGCAGAACUUACCUGGACUGUGAUUUAAGCUAGCUGCCUGCAGAAUUUACCUGGACUGUGAUUUACCUGGACUGUGAGGACACUGCUUUAACUGGACUGAGACAACAAACUGUAAUCUACAACAAAUUGUAACUCGGUAUCUUUGCAAAUGGUGUCAUUGCUGGUAUAAUUUUUCUAAGGGCUUCUUGCAUGGAGCCAUCAAUUGGCUUGGUAUUGUGGCAUUUUGUAUCCUCCCCUUCUGCUUGUAGCAGAUUAUUUAUGGUGUUUAUGUAAAAACCACUAUGGUCAUUAUUUAAAUUAAACAAAAGGGGGAAAUGUUAGAGUCUGUAAACAAGUCAGGAUGGUGCCUGGUAUUUUGCCAGGGGGAGUGGUUUGUGAGGUUGCUCCAGCGAGCGCCAGUGUGGAGAUUCCUUAUUGGUUGACUGCUGUAUCUAGUUUAUGUUAAUUAAGAUAAGCUGUGUGUAAUGUAUAUAUACCCCUCCUGUCCUACAAUGAACGGCUCCCACUCCUGCUGUAUCAAUCUACACAAGUUCUUCGUCACCCCUCGGUUAUUUUGCUGCAGCCGGACUGCGGCAAGCAAGCUUCUUGAUUUCCUAGCACCCUGACUGGGGACUGGUAUUUUUGUCCUUGGGGGACCAGUUCUGUUGUGGUGUCCAGGACUGUUUUGGACUCUUUCAGCCCUUGAAAUAAGUUUGCAAGCACCUGGUCCCUGGUUGAAUUGAAGUUUGGUUUAGGAUGGCUACUGACUCCGGCUUCUGUGUUGCUUCUGACUCCUCACUGAUACAUUGUCUUCUGGCACUGGGGGUUGGGGAUGAUAUUUGGUGUCAAUAUGGAUGUUAUGCUUUUUUUUUUGGUUUAUAAUAAUAAUAAUAAUAAUAAUAAUAAUAAUAAU
This 6214-nucleotide long non-coding RNA is filed under the name Marmota monax (woodchuck). Lineage: Eukaryota; Metazoa; Chordata; Mammalia; Rodentia; Sciuridae. The record is from RNAcentral.